This 505-nucleotide ribosomal RNA is filed under the name uncultured bacterium. RNAcentral describes it as "partial 16S ribosomal RNA". It matches the Rfam family "Bacterial small subunit ribosomal RNA", at positions 28 to 507 of the family's 1533-position model. The record is from RNAcentral.
GACGAACGCUGGCGGCGUGCCUAAUACAUGCAAGUAGAACGCACAGUUUAUACCGUAGCUUGCUACACCAUAGACUGUGAGUUGCGAACGGGUGAGUAACGCGUAGGUAACCUGCCUGGUAGCGGGGGAUAACUAUUGGAAACGAUAGCUAAUACCGCAUAAUAUUGAUUAUUGCAUGAUAAUUGAUUGAAAGAUGCUAUUGCAUCACUACCAGAUGGACCUUCGUUGUAUUAGCUAGUAGGUGAGGUAACGGCUCACCUAGGCGACGAUACAUAGCCGACCUGGGAGGGUGAUCGGCCACACUGGGACUGAGACACGGCCCAGACUCCUAAGGGAGGCAGCAGUAGGGAAUCUUCGGCAAUGGACGAAAGUCUGACCGAGCAACGCCGCGUGAGUGAAGAAGGUUUUCGGAUCGUAAAGCUCUGUUGUAAGAGAAGAACGGGUGUGAGAGUGGAAAGUUCACACUGUGACGGUAUCUUAACAGAAAGGGACGGCUAACUACGUG